ACGCACGCUGGCGGCGUGCUUCACACAUGCAAGUCGCACGGAAAGGCCCUGCUUUUGUGGGGUGCUCGAGUGGCGAACGGGUGAGUAACACGUGAGUAACCUGCCCUUGACUUUGGGAUAACUUCAGGAAACUGGGGCUAAUACCGGAUAGGAGCUCCUGCUGCAUGGUGGGGGUUGGAAAGUUUCGGCGGUUGGGGAUGGACUCGCGGCUUAUCAGCUUGUUGGUGGGGUAGUGGCUUACCAAGGCUUUGACGGGUAGCCGGCCUGAGAGGGUGACCGGCCACAUUGGGACUGAGAUACGGCCCAGACUCCUACGGGAGGCAGCAGUGGGGAAUAUUGCACAAUGGGCGGAAGCCUGAUGCAGCAACGCCGCGUGCGGGAUGACGGCCUUCGGGUUGUAAACCGCUUUCGCCUGUGACGAGGCGUGAGUGACGGUAAUGGGUAAAGAAGCACCGGCUAACUACGUG
This 467-nucleotide ribosomal RNA is filed under the name uncultured bacterium. Its description in RNAcentral is "partial 16S ribosomal RNA". It matches the Rfam family "Bacterial small subunit ribosomal RNA", at positions 29 to 507 of the family's 1533-position model. The record is from RNAcentral.